AUAAGUAGAUAUUUUCCUCGUUCUAUUCUUAUAUACCGUUAUAUAUACGUUAAGGUUAGAUUUUUUCCUUUCGUGUUGAUUGUUAAAGAAAAUUGUAUUUUGUAUUGCAUAGACUAAAGCGCUAAAACAAUGAGAUGCAUAUCUGUCGGUUGCACAUCAGGGUACAAGAGUAACUUCGAAAAGAACAUGAUAUUGUCCGUAAAAAAAUUUUUUACAAUAACAAUGGUGACAUUAUUCAAGAGAUUACAUUAAAGAGACCAUAUCUUAAGCAAGGUGCGAUACCUACACUAUUUCCUUGGACAGAAUUUCUAAAUGAAAAUAAUAUGACAGACAAUACAGAAAGUUUAUUAUCAAGAAAAAGUAAUAACACCG
This 372-nucleotide long non-coding RNA is filed under the name Harpegnathos saltator (Jerdon's jumping ant). RNAcentral's name for it is "uncharacterized LOC105185954, transcript variant X2". The record is from RNAcentral. Lineage: Eukaryota; Metazoa; Arthropoda; Insecta; Hymenoptera; Formicidae.